This 512-nucleotide ribosomal RNA is filed under the name uncultured bacterium. Its description in RNAcentral is "bacterial SSU rRNA". It matches the Rfam family "Bacterial small subunit ribosomal RNA", at positions 10 to 522 of the family's 1533-position model. The record is from RNAcentral.
ACUUUGAUUAUGGCUCGGGACGAACGCUGGCGGCGCGCCUAACACAUGCAAGUCGAGCGGGAAGCUUUUUAAGGAUUCUUCGGAUGAAUUAAAAAGUGGAGAGCGGCGGACGGGUGAGUAACGCGUGAGAAACCUGCCCUAUACAGGGGGGAUAGCCAUUGGAAACGAUGAUUAAUACCCCAUAUGACCACAGUAUCGCAUGAUACAGCGGUGAAAACUCCGGUGGUAUAGGAUGGUCUCGCGUCUGAUUAGCUAGCUGGUGGGGUAACGGCCUACCAAGGCGACGAUCAGUAGCCGGCCUGAGAGGGUGACCGGCCACACUGGAACUGAGACACGGUCCAGACUCCUACGGGAGGCAGCAGUGGGGAAUAUUGCACAAUGGGCGAAAGCCUGAUGCAGCGACGCCGCGUGAACGAUGAAGGCUUUCGAGUCGUAAAGUUCUGUUCUUGGGGAAGAUAACGACGGUACCCAAGGAGAAAGCACCGGCUAAAUACGUGCCAGCAGCCGCGGUA